This is a long non-coding RNA of Hibiscus syriacus, 260 nucleotides long. RefSeq lists it as uncharacterized. The record is from RefSeq and is a predicted model, not a curated record. Lineage: Eukaryota; Viridiplantae; Streptophyta; Magnoliopsida; Malvales; Malvaceae. The transcript has 2 exons.
CCCUCGUUGCCUGAUCACUACUCCUUGCACGUAAUACGCAAUGCCGGAGCAAAAUAUCCCCUGAUCGAUCACGAAUUCGAUAUUAAAACUGCUGAAAUACUUUGUUUUAUGUGCAUGAUCAUGGCUGCCAAGCAAAGAGGCUAUGUUGGGGCCACUUACAGAGUACGCUGCACCGAGAAGCCUCGAGUCCCAACCGACUUUCCACGCACUUAGAUCGCGAACCAUGAUGAGUGACACACCUGUACCUCCAACCAUCCCCG